CCAUCAGGAGAAAGCCCAGAUGCUGGGAUGAGGCGGCGCCUGAAGGAACGCCGGGGACCCCCUGAUUUGCUCUUUUUUAAAAAAAUUUAUUAUUUUUGGCGGUGUUGGGUUGUUGCUGCACGUGGGCGUUCUCUAGUUGCGAGAAAGUAAUCUUUUGUCUAAAGAUGUAAUGAAGAUGACUUGAGUGAACAGAUAGAUAAUGGUGCCAUCAGCUGAAAUAGAAAAUGAGGAAGCAGGAGGAGGUAUUUGAGGAGAAUAUACAACUGCAAAUGGCCCGUGUUAUACUUCUGUUGGACAGCACCACCUGAGGCGUCAAACCUGUUUGUGAAGGGUGACAUCUGUGCCUCGUGCAUCUUUUUAUCCUCAGUGCCUAGAACAGUAGCGGGUGCAUAGUAGGCACUAGGCAAGUAUUUAUGAAUACAUGAAUGAAACCUAUGAGUGAAUGGAAUGAAUGAAUGAAUGACUCUCUAAAAGUAAUAAACUUCCCUCAGAAGGAUGUUCAUUACAUUGUAUCUUUGACAAUGUUGGAUGUAAAUGUGCAAAAAGACUCAGGCUCUAAGUCUUUUGCUUGAUUAGAGCUCCAAGGAACCCCUAAUGAUCUUUGACUCAGACCCCAGCUGUAAAGUGGAAGGAGGUGUGAAA
Long non-coding RNA from Balaenoptera musculus (blue whale), 642 nucleotides. RefSeq lists it as uncharacterized. Lineage: Eukaryota; Metazoa; Chordata; Mammalia; Artiodactyla; Balaenopteridae. The record is from RefSeq and is a predicted model, not a curated record. The transcript is spliced from 3 exons.